CAGAUAUGUUUUUUUGCCUGGAAGUGUGUUGGGAUAAUCAACACUCCUUAUGUCAGAAUUAGUUGGUCCUCCUUCUUUUCUUUCUAGAUUGUGGAUAAUUGGGGAGAAUAUUUGAGAUAAAGAAAUGAAAUGCAUGAGGAAAGCUUCAUGUCCCUCAAGUUUAGGGAUGUGCAGUUUCUGAACUGCACAAGUAGAGUCAGGCUCCCACAGAAACUUUCCAAAGCUGGAAGGGACAGGGAAGAAAAUCCCAAGAGUGGUGUGGGAAGUGCUUUCUCCCAGAUCUGGACACCGCUGAGGUUGGAAUGACAUUAAAAUAUUCCUUGUCCCUCUCUUGUUCCCAGCCCAGGACUCAGCUGGUGCUCCCUGUGUGGCUGCAGCUCCCUGGAUGUGGAGGGAGGAGGUCCCUGCUGGAGAGUGGGAGAAAUGUCCCUGCUGGUUGCUGGGUCCUUGGUGGGCAGAGAACUCUGAUCUUGGCAAGAUGGUCUCGCCUUCCCAGAAGGGCACUGGGUGGAUCCUUCUGUCUCUGCUGGAGGUGCAGCUUCACAGCCCAGGGGAGGAGUCACUCAUGGGGCAGGGGAGGCCAGAGCUGCCCCUGUGAGCUGGCAGGGGGACCGGCCUGAUUCAAACAGCUGAACACAGCAAAGUCACACAGGGACUCUGCUGCUCCCCCAGCUCCUGCCAGGAUUGUGGAAACUGAUGGAAAGUGACCCAGAUCAAGCUAUUUUAUUGUGAAAUUGUGUUUGUUAGGGAAAGAAGGUAAGGAUGAGAAAUCUUGGGCUGGAUGGGUUUUUUCCAUGAAAUACCAAAAGCAAUAUUGGGAAACUUACUGAUUCUAUUGGUAAUGGCUAUAUACUCAUGCACUUACCCUAUUGGUAAUAGCUAUAUACUCCUGCACUUAUCCUAUUAGUUUUCCUAUCAAAUACUGGGAAUUCAGAUACUGUUCAAAUGGAAUCGUCUCCUGUCCAUGGUAUUUUCUUGGUUGUUUUUUAAAAAAUACAAAAAGCAAAAACUUGGUCAGUAAUAGUUUAAACUCUUGAAAUGCAUUUGUUCAUGACCAAUGAAAAUGCCUCUAUGACAGGCAAGGAACACAGCCAGGAGCAGGUGAUGCAUUAAGUCUUGAGUGGAGAUCAACCUGUUGUCCAUAGUGGGGAAACUUCUCUACCCCUUCAGAGCACAGGGACUGAAUUUGGUUUUAUUUGAACCAAGGCAGUCCAGGCUUUCCCUGCCCACUCAGGUGGGGCAGCCACCAGCCUGUGACACUGGAGCUGG
This 1269-nucleotide long non-coding RNA is filed under the name Junco hyemalis (dark-eyed junco). Its description in RNAcentral is "lncRNA (ENSJHYG00000000017.1)". Lineage: Eukaryota; Metazoa; Chordata; Aves; Passeriformes; Passerellidae. The record is from RNAcentral.